GCAAUUAAACCUAGCCCAACAACAAACAAUAAUCCCACCAAACAAUAAUUACAUUACCAAAAACUUAACCAAAACAUUUUACCAUCUAGUAUAGGUGAUAGAAAAGAU
This 108-nucleotide ribosomal RNA is filed under the name Graptemys pseudogeographica (false map turtle). RNAcentral's name for it is "partial 16S ribosomal RNA". Lineage: Eukaryota; Metazoa; Chordata; Testudines; Emydidae. The record is from RNAcentral.